GUGAGACAGGUGCUGCAUGGCUGUCGUCAGCUCGUGUUGUGAAAUGUUGGGUUAAGUCCCGCAACGAGCGCAACCCUUAUCCUUUGUUGCCAGCGGUCCGGCCGGGAACUCAAAGGAGACUGCCAGUGAUAAACUGGAGGAAGGUGGGGAUGACGUCAAGUCAUCAUGGCCCUUACGACCAGGGCUACACACGUGCUACAAUGGCGCAUACAAAGAGAAGCGACCUCGC
RNAcentral lists this ribosomal RNA (229 nucleotides) under Salmonella enterica subsp. enterica serovar Muenchen. RNAcentral describes it as "partial 16S ribosomal RNA". It matches the Rfam family "Bacterial small subunit ribosomal RNA", at positions 1029 to 1258 of the family's 1533-position model. Lineage: Bacteria; Pseudomonadati; Pseudomonadota; Gammaproteobacteria; Enterobacterales; Enterobacteriaceae. The record is from RNAcentral. RNAcentral also lists the same sequence under 8 other names.